GACGAACGCUGGCGGCGUGCUUAAAAACAUGCAAGUCGAACGGACUUCUCAUGAAGCUUGCGAUUGAGAAGUUAGUGGCGGACGGGUGAGUAACGCGUGGGCAACCUGCCCCUGAGCCCGGGAUAACAGUUCGAAAGGACUGCUAAGACCGGAUAUACUUGCGGUGAAGCAUUUCACUGCAAGGAAAGGGAACGCUCAGGGAUGGGCCCGCGUCCCAUUAGCUAGUUGGUGAGGUAACGGCCCACCAAGGCGACGAUGGGUAGCCGGCCUGAGAGGGUGAACGGCCACACUGGGACUGAGACACGGCCCAGACUCCUACGGGAGGCAGCAGUUGGGAAUCUUCGGCAAUGGGCGCAAGCCUGGACCGAGCAACGCCGCGUGAGUGAUGAAGGUUUUCGGAUUGUAAAGCUCUGUCUUCCGGGACGAUAAUGACGGUACCGGAGGAGGAAGCCACGGGCUAACUACGUG
This 468-nucleotide ribosomal RNA is filed under the name uncultured bacterium. RNAcentral describes it as "bacterial SSU rRNA". It matches the Rfam family "Bacterial small subunit ribosomal RNA", at positions 28 to 507 of the family's 1533-position model. The record is from RNAcentral.